AGGUGCCUUUCGGACACGCCGGCUCCUGCGCGCCAUCAGCGCCCACCCAGCCACUGCUCGCUAGGCGUUGCGAACC
RNAcentral lists this small RNA (76 nucleotides) under Xanthomonas citri pv. aurantifolii. RNAcentral describes it as "sX9". It matches the Rfam family "Xanthomonas sRNA sX9". Lineage: Bacteria; Pseudomonadati; Pseudomonadota; Gammaproteobacteria; Lysobacterales; Lysobacteraceae. The record is from RNAcentral. RNAcentral also lists the same sequence under 1 other name.